CAAAACUAUAGUUUGUUAACAAGAAAUUUGUGGAGUGGUUGAAAAACCAGUUUUAAUGACUCCAACAUAAGUGUAUGUAUACUUCCGACUUCAACUGUAUAUGAACAGGAUAGAUUCACUGAUUUCAUUUUCCUUGUUUCCCAGUUGGCACUACAUUACACCAUCCCUACUCCUACUGUUGGCACAUCGCUCAGCAUUCAGGUUAAGCCAGAAGUCGAGUGCAACACCAAGAGUCUAAGAAAAAAAGUUUAGCUGAAACUCCAAUACCUGUAUGAAGAAAUGGAGCAGACAACCAAUAUGGUUAUAGUGGAUUUGAGGAUGUUGUCUGGCUUUGCCCCUGACCCAGAACCCUUGGAGAAGCUGAGGGGUUCCUCUCUUGUGGAUUGUGUCGAUAUCAAAGAUGACCAUGUUUUAAUCUACUCGAUGGAGGUAAGUAUACUUUAAUUUAGGCUUACAGUGGAUAAUCAUUCAAACCAACAGACAUGAGUUGAAAAUUGAUGUCACUUAAGCUACUGUUAUAAUAUCAAUGUUUGACAUGAUAUCAUAAACAACAUAGCAACAAAUUAGUCUUAGAUUGUUUAAAAACUUGUAAUGGCACUCUCAAAAUAAUAGAAUGAAUAAGAAAUGAUAGAGUAUAUUUCAUAUACAUAUCAUAUACUCUAGUUAGCAUAUUUGUUUAGACACAAAGUAUUGCGUUCUUCGCAGUCAGCAAAGCUAAAAUUGUAUUUCUGUUUAGAGCAUUUCGUAUUGUGACCAAAAUAGUUGUUUUUUUUCAACAGUUAUCAGACUGUGUCAGUAACAAUGUUUAUUACAGCAACAAGGCAGCCAAACGACAGGUCAAGGCAGGCAGGGGUUGAUAACCAGAGUAGUGGAGGAAAGGUACAGGACGGCGGUCAGGGUCGGGUCAGGCAGAGGUUGAUAACCAGAGUAGUGGAGGAAAGGUACAGGACGGCAGUCAGGGUCGGGUCAGGCAGGGGUUGAUAACCAGAGUAGUGGAGGAAAGGUACAGGACGGCGGUCAGGGUCGGGUCAGGCAGAGGUUGAUAACCAGAGUAGUGGAGGAAAGGUACAGGACGGCAGUCAGGGUCGGGUCAGGCAGGGGUUGAUAACCAGAGUAGUGGGGGAAAGGUACAGGACGGCAGGCAGGCUCAGGGCAGGCAGAGUGGUCAGGCAGGGGGGCUCAGAGACAGGACAGGUAAGGGUCAAAACCAGGAGGGCGAGGGAGAAAAAGAGACUCGGGGAAAAGCAGGCGCUGAGACAAAACCGCUGGUUGACUUGACAAACAAGACGAACUGGCAACAGACAAACAGAACACAGGUAUAAAUACACGGGAUAAUGGGGAAGAUGGGCGACACCUGGAGGGGUGGAGACAAUCACAAAGGCAGGUGAAACAGAUCAGGGUGUGAGGACAGGUUUUAUUGUUUCAUUCAGGUGACCUGGCUGAGGCUGAGUACGUCUUCCCGUUUGCCAUUGGUCAGCUCAUUUAUAUCUUAAAUAUUUUGUAUAACCACAAAUGUGUACACUGAAUCAGUGUUUCUUUCAUCAUAUAUAUUACAUUAUAUAUAUCAUUAUAAUCUCUAAAAAUGACAACAUUUUGUUCAUCCUUUAUGAAUGCUAACCCUAAUCAUUGUUUGGCCUCUGAAGAUUUAAGAAAAUGAAGAAAGAUAAGUGAAUCCCGGUUAAAGGCCUAUUGUGUGUGUAUUUUUCACAUUUCAACCAUGGAACUGGAAAUCAAGUUUUUCAUUAAAUCCUUUGUCUUGUGCAUUAUAUUCUGAUCGUUUUGCAUUUAUUGAAUGUCACACUUUGUGGCAGGGCAUGCAUGACUCAGGAUUACACAAUUCAUAGUCAGGCUCUACUAAUAACACAAUUAGUCACUAUUAUAAUAUCUAUUAUAUUAUUACAUAUUAGUGAUGGGCAUCAAUAUGGAAAGUCCAUAUCGAUAUCAAUUGCAUUUUUACUUUUGAUAUCGAUACAUCGGAAUUUAUUGUACUUGCUGUUUAUCCCUAUAUGUGAUGUGAAGUGUAAAAUGUGUUUGAUCUUGAUGAGCCACCGUAGUAGUCGCGUCAUGUUGGAUCUUGAUGAACCAUAGUUGUGGUUGUUCCCAACAGCUGUAGCAGUUAUACAGUGCCUUCAAAAGUAUUCACACCCUUUGACUUUUUCCACAUUUUGUUCUGUUACAAAGU
This is a non-coding RNA of Salmo salar (Atlantic salmon), 2182 nucleotides long. Lineage: Eukaryota; Metazoa; Chordata; Actinopteri; Salmoniformes; Salmonidae. The record is from RefSeq and is a predicted model, not a curated record.